GUGCCAGCCGCCGCGGUAAUACGAAGGGGGCUAGCGUUGUUCGGAAUUACUGGGCGUAAAGCGCGCGUAGGCGGAUCGUUAAGUGAGGGGUGAAAUCCCAGGGCUCAACCCUGGAACUGCCUUUCAUACUGGCGAUCUUGAGUUCGAGAGAGGUGAGUGGAAUUCCGAGUGUAGAGGUGAAAUUCGUAGAUAUUCGGAGGAACACCAGUGGCGAAGGCGGCUCACUGGCUCGAUACUGACGCUGAGGUGCGAAAGCGUGGGGAGCAAACAGGAUUAGAUACCCGUGUAGUCC
Molecule: ribosomal RNA, 292 nt
Filed under: uncultured bacterium
Lineage: Bacteria
Description: partial 16S ribosomal RNA
Rfam family: Bacterial small subunit ribosomal RNA
Source: RNAcentral